GAACGCAUAUUGCGCUCUUUGGUAUUCCGAAGAGCAUGCUUGUUUGAGUAUCAGUAAACACCUCAAAGCUUUUGGAUUUUUUUUUUUUUGAAAGCUUUGGACUUGAGCAAUCCCAACACCAAUCUUUUUCAGAUCGGCGGCGGGUUGCUUGAAAUUCAGGUGCAGCUGGACUUUCUCCUGAGCUAAAAGCAUAUUCAUUUAGUCCCGUCAAACGGAUUAUUACUUUUGCUGCAGCUAACAUAAAGGGAGUUUGACCGCAUUGGCUGACUGAUGCAGGAUUUCACAAGGGUCGGCAACGAUUCUUGUUAAACUCGAUCUCAAAUCAAGUAAGACUACCCGCUGAACUUAAG
This 350-nucleotide unclassified non-coding RNA is filed under the name uncultured Mortierella. RNAcentral describes it as "sequence contains 5.8S rRNA gene". The stretch from base 1 to 53 matches the Rfam family "5.8S ribosomal RNA", at positions 102 to 154 of the family's 154-position model. The record is from RNAcentral. Lineage: Eukaryota; Fungi; Mortierellomycota; Mortierellomycetes; Mortierellales; Mortierellaceae.